CUUUGGCCGAACUCCCCCCACCUCACUGCUCCCCCAUCGUUGCUAUCAUUUGUGAGCUAGAUCUGGCCGGAGCUAUGUACAUAUGGAGUUGCCCCGACCAAAGUCGUUGAAGUAGCAUCACCUCCAUCACUACUUUGUUUUCUUUCGAAUAAGAUUUUGAUUUUUGUAUGUUUCCAUGUCACUUAUCUGUGGUGAAAUUGACGUUGCUCCGGUGAUGCUUGGAAGCAACACCACUUCCUUCUCCAUUUAUUAUUGUUUCACCACUACCUUUUUGCCAAUCUUUUGUAUUCUUUUAAUUUAUUUUCUGACAUUGCUUUGAAAUUUAUUCUGGUGAUGCAUCAUAAUUUAGUUCUAUGUUUGAUUUAGUAUUCUUCAUUGUUGUCUGUUGCUACUCCCCAU
Molecule: long non-coding RNA, 399 nt
Filed under: Capsicum annuum
Lineage: Eukaryota; Viridiplantae; Streptophyta; Magnoliopsida; Solanales; Solanaceae
Description: long non-coding RNA (CANN_LNC010445)
Source: RNAcentral